UUUUCCAAGUAGCGGCGAGCGAACGGGAAAUAGCCUAAACCAUACAUAUGUGAUAGCCCGGAAGCGUUGUAUGUAUGGGGUUGUGGGAUCUUAAUAGAGACUGUUUCGGAGGUUUCGGAGAGUUACAAAACUGAUUAUUAAUCAAACAAUCUGGAAAGUUUGGCCAUAGAGGGUGAUAGCCCCGUAGAUGAAAAUAAUGAGUCUCUCUUUUAAGACACCCGAGUACUGCGGAACACGAGAAAUUCUGUGGGAAUUAGU
RNAcentral lists this ribosomal RNA (258 nucleotides) under Ctenophora environmental sample. RNAcentral's name for it is "partial Bacterial large subunit ribosomal RNA". It matches the Rfam family "Bacterial large subunit ribosomal RNA", at positions 235 to 447 of the family's 2925-position model. The record is from RNAcentral. Lineage: Eukaryota; Metazoa; Ctenophora.